RNAcentral lists this ribosomal RNA (515 nucleotides) under uncultured bacterium. RNAcentral describes it as "partial 16S ribosomal RNA". It matches the Rfam family "Bacterial small subunit ribosomal RNA", at positions 28 to 523 of the family's 1533-position model. The record is from RNAcentral.
GAUGAACGCUGGCGGCGUGCCUAAUACAUGCAAGUCGAGCGAAUGGAUUAAGAGCUUGCUCUUAUGAAGUUAGCGGCGGACGGGUGAGUAACACGUGGGUAACCUGCCCAUAAGACUGGGAUAACUCCGGGAAACCGGGGCUAAUACCGGAUAAUAUUUUGAACUGCAUGGUUCAAAAUUGAAAGGCGGCUUCGGCUGUCACUUAUGGAUGGACCGGCGUCGCAUUAGCUAGUUGGUGAGGUAACGGCUCACCAAGGCAACGAUGCGUAGCCGACCUGAGAGGGUGAUCGGCCUCACUGGGACUGAGACACGGCCCAGACUCCUACGGGAGGCAGCAGUAGGGAAUCUUCCGCAAUGGACGAAAGUCUGACGGAGCAACGCCGCGUGAGUGAUGAAGGCUUUCGGGUCGUAAAACUCUGUUGUUAGGGAAGAACAAGUGCUAGUUGAAUAAGCUGGCACCUUGACGGUACCUAACCAGAAAGCCACGGCUAACUACGUGCCAGCAGCAGCCGCAG